CAACCCAAGCUUGGUCCAUGCACAAAGCAUCUUGGCCAUCUGGGCUUGCCAAGUUAUCUUGAUGGGAGCCGUUGAGGGUUACCGUGUUGCUGGUGGGCCUCUUGGUGAGGUUGUCGACCCACUCUACCCUGGUGGCAGCUUUGACCCACUGGGCCUCGCUGAGGACCCAGAGGCAUUUGCUGAGCUCAAGGUAAAGGAGAUUAAGAACGGAAGACUUGCCAUGUUCUCUAUGUUCGG
RNAcentral lists this long non-coding RNA (237 nucleotides) under Nicotiana tabacum (common tobacco). Its description in RNAcentral is "long non-coding RNA (NTAB_LNC009222)". The record is from RNAcentral. Lineage: Eukaryota; Viridiplantae; Streptophyta; Magnoliopsida; Solanales; Solanaceae.